UAAUCGCGGAUCAGAAUGCCGCGGUGAAUACGUUCCCGGGUCUUGUACACACCGCCCGUCACACCAUGGGAGUCGGAGAUGCCCGAAGCCGGUGACCUAACCUUUAAGGAGAGAGCCGUCGAAGGCAGGUCUGAUAACUGGGGUGAAGUCGUAACAAGGUACC
Molecule: ribosomal RNA, 163 nt
Filed under: uncultured bacterium
Lineage: Bacteria
Description: partial 16S ribosomal RNA
Rfam family: Bacterial small subunit ribosomal RNA
Source: RNAcentral